AUGAACGCUGGCGGCGUGCCUCAUCCAUGCCAGUCGAGCGAACAGACGAGGAGCUUGCUCCUCUGACGUUAGCGGCGGACGGGUGAGUAACACGUGGAUAACCUACCUAUAAGACUGGGAUAACUUCGGGAAACCGGAGCUAAUACCGGAUAAUAUAUUGAACCGCAUGGUUCAAUAGUGAAAGACGGUUUUGCUGUCACUUAUAGAUGGAUCCGCGCCGCAUUAGCUAGUUGGUAAGGUAACGGCUUACCAAGGCAACGAUGCGUAGCCGACCUGAGAGGGUGAUCGGCCACACUGGAACUGAGACACGGUCCAGACUCCUACGGGAGGCAGCAGUAGGGAAUCUUCCGCAAUGGGCGAAAGCUUGACGGAGCAACGCCGCGUGAGUGAUGAAGGUCUUCGGAUCGUAAAACUCUGUUAUUAGGGAAGAACAAAUGUGUAAGUAACUAUGCACGUCUUGACGGUACCUAAUCAGAAAGCCACGGCUAACUACGUG
RNAcentral lists this ribosomal RNA (496 nucleotides) under uncultured bacterium. RNAcentral's name for it is "partial 16S ribosomal RNA". It matches the Rfam family "Bacterial small subunit ribosomal RNA", at positions 29 to 507 of the family's 1533-position model. The record is from RNAcentral.